This 536-nucleotide ribosomal RNA is filed under the name uncultured bacterium. RNAcentral's name for it is "bacterial SSU rRNA". It matches the Rfam family "Bacterial small subunit ribosomal RNA", at positions 974 to 1509 of the family's 1533-position model. The record is from RNAcentral.
CCUGGCCUUGACAUACUAACGAACUUUCCAGAGAUGGAUUGGUGCCUUCGGGAACUUAGAUACAGGUGCUGCAUGGCUGUCGUCAGCUCGUGUCGUGAGAUGUUGGGUUAAGUCCCGCAACGAGCGCAACCCUUUUCCUUAUUGCCAGCGGGUUAAGCCGGGAACUUUAAGGAUACUGCCAGUGACAAACUGGAGGAAGGCGGGGACGACGUCAAGUCAUCAUGGCCCUUACGGCCAGGGCUACACACGUGCUACAAUGGUCGGUACAAAGGGUUGCUACCUCGCGAGAGGAUGCUAAUCUCAAAAAGCCGAUCGUAGUCCGGAUCGCAGUCUGCAACUCGACUGCGUGAAGUCGGAAUCGCUAGUAAUCGCGGAUCAGAAUGCCGCGGUGAAUACGUUCCCGGGCCUUGUACACACCGCCCGUCACACCAUGGGAGUUUGUUGCACCAGAAGUAGGUAGUCUAACCGCAAGGAGGACGCUUACCACGGUGUGGCCGAUGACUGGGGUGAAGUCGUAACAAGGUAAGCGUAGAUGA